Helianthus annuus (common sunflower) is the source of this 680-nucleotide long non-coding RNA. RefSeq lists it as uncharacterized. Lineage: Eukaryota; Viridiplantae; Streptophyta; Magnoliopsida; Asterales; Asteraceae. The record is from RefSeq and is a predicted model, not a curated record. The transcript has 2 exons.
UUUGGUUCAUGGGUUUUUAGAGAGAGAAAGUUGUUAGAACGCCAAGAACACACACACACAAGUGUGUGUGAGAGAAUCAUUUUUGAAGAUCUUCAUCUUGUUCCUCAGACGGGUCUAGAUCCGGAGUGAGGAGAAUGACCAGGUCCGUGACGGGUAGGCUGGCUAAUAAGCGAAAGCAGAACGAUAAAGAAACAGAACGAUAACGAAAGAAGGUAGAUGGAGAAACCGAUGAAGAAUGGGAACAAGAAGUCGAUGAAGGGCAGGUAGUGGGUACCUUUUGACGUUGUACAGAAGUUACCCUCCAGUGUAACACAUGUUACAAACAUGUGUUACAUAUGUUCAACCCCUUUGUUACCAAAAAUCGGGGCUGCACAUAUGUAAGACAUGCUUGUAACUUAUGUUACACUAGAGGGUAACACAUGUAUGAUCAUUUUUGGAUCAUUUGUAUAUAUUUAAGUCUGUAUAAACCUACAACAUUGAUACCCCCAAAAAGGUUACACAUGUUACGAUAGAAUGGGAAAUGUGUAGCAACGUUCAAUACUGUUGUUUCACUCUAUAGUGUGUAACAUGUGUGAAAUGGCGUUUGUCAGUAAAACAUAUAACUUGUAAGGUGAUACGACUGUAUCUUUAAAACAUGUUUACCUAUAAGUACUUACAUGUUACAGGUUGUAUCUUUAAAA